UGAAAGAGUACGGAAUCCGUAACUGAUACUUCCAAACCAUUUAUAGCACACUCCACAAAAUCUUACCCUCAAAUGACAAUGAUAUCAAAUAUGAAACAUUAUUCACAACCUAAACAUAUUCACCUCAAAUUAAAAAAACUAAUCCAAACUAACAAUUUCAAAAUAAUUCAUAAUCUAUUUAACACUAAGACCGAACGACAAAAGCAACUAGAUCAAAAUAAACUAGCCGAACCAGAAACAUAGCAGCCGACCAGACCCAGAGACUAAACCCUAUCCUUAAGUGAUCCAAUCUGAGAAAGUGGACCCAACCAUGAAGGCCCAACCAAUCAAGAAGCUGAAACAGAAAUAGCCCGAAGCCUAACCAAGUUAACCAACAUCCAUCCUUCCCGAAGUCGUCCUACCCGAAGCAACUAACACAGCUUGCCGAAGAAAGAAGAGAAAACAGCCAGAAGCCGAAGCCAUCGUACCUGUAGAGGUGGGAUGACAUACCACCCGAAGCGAAAGGAAGCGAAAAGCUGAAGUCCGGAUCCACCAGUCCAACAGCCAUCCUACCCAAAGUUGGGAAGCCGAAGCCAUCCUACCACCCCCAGUUGCAUAGAUACAGCCAAGGCACACACCAAAUACCCACCCAAAACAAGACCGAAGUACCUAGACACCGAGACCGAAGUACCGAGCACAUCAAGCACAUCUGCUCGCCCAAGACCGAAGUACCGAGCACAUUUGCUCGCCCAAUAUGACCCCUCCAACGACUGAACCAAACACAAAUAGCAAAGAAUAAGAGGCAUCCCAACAAGGAGUACUAUUGUAGGAGGCCCAUCAUAGCAAGGAGUCUCAUCUGAAGUACCCAACUUAGCCAACCUUGACCAAAGCUGCCUCACCUCUCUCCAAAAGCUGCCCCUCCUCGCCCAGCAUCUCACUGCUGUCCCACCUGGCCCAAAAUGCCUUUACCAAAAGUAUUAUGAGUACACAAUCACACUACUCGAUAAGGAUCCCCCAAACCAGUGAAGUAACAGAACCACACUACUCCAGCAGCAAAAGACCACGACAGUACCAAAUCAGACCAUGACAAGAUCAUGGCAAUGAGACCCAACACCAAAAACAAGAUUAAAGUAACCAAUUGCAAAAAAUUAGGUGAAGAAUGAGAUGCUUUGAUAAAAAGAGAGGAAGAGGACAAUCUACAUUUGAUGAUAUUGAUAGUGUCCUUAGCAACAAUUGAUGGGGGGGGUAAGCUUAUCUGAAUACGUCUUUAUAUUUCUCGCCUCCCAAAUCUUGUAGAAAGUAGCAGCAAAGGUAAGAUAAAGGAUUAAUUCGGGCGCGCUUGGUUUCGGGUGAGCAUGGCUUCGGGCGAGCAUGGUUCGGGGCAAGUUAUGGCUUCGGGCGAACAAGGUUUUGGACCAUGUGGUUGGGCAAGCAUGGUUUCAGGCUAGUUAUGGUUUCGGGCAAGCAAGUGGUUCGGGCGAGCAUGCGAAUUCGGGUAUGAUGUGGUG
Molecule: long non-coding RNA, 1487 nt
Filed under: Panax ginseng (ginseng)
Lineage: Eukaryota; Viridiplantae; Streptophyta; Magnoliopsida; Apiales; Araliaceae
Description: long non-coding RNA (PGIN_LNC007707)
Source: RNAcentral